UUAUGUUUCAGAUUUAACGGGCUUCUGUAGAUUAUAUUGUACCAUUAAUUUCUUUCAUAAAGCCCAAUUCAUUUCGGGCCUUGUAUAGAAAAUGUAUUCUGGGCCAUCCUUGAAGCCCGCGUAAUUUGUAUAUAUUGUUAAUAAUUCCUUAGAAUUUAUUAAAGUUUUGCAGAAGUGUGAAUUAAUGAGUUGUAAAGUCAAUUAGACAUAUAUUAAAGUUAAAUAUGCUAAACACAUUUGGUUGGUCU
Molecule: long non-coding RNA, 248 nt
Filed under: Erythranthe guttata (spotted monkey flower)
Lineage: Eukaryota; Viridiplantae; Streptophyta; Magnoliopsida; Lamiales; Phrymaceae
Description: long non-coding RNA (EGUT_LNC003522)
Source: RNAcentral